UUGCUGAGGGCUAAUAAAAUGAAUAUGCGCAUCGAUCCCUCCUGCAGUCAAAAUUUUACCCUCAGCUGCAAUUACUUCUGUCCCGGGACCUAUAAUUAUAUUCACAUUAGGUUGUACAUCAGGAUUACCUGCUUUACCUAUUUCUGAAAUAUAACCAUUAAUAAUUCCUAUAUCUGCUUUAAUUACUCCACAAUAAUCUAAAAUUACAGCAUUAGUAAUGACAGUGUCGACAGCUCCUUCUGAAUUGCUUAUCUGACUUUGUCCCAUUCCAUCUC
This 275-nucleotide small RNA is filed under the name marine eukaryotic metagenome. RNAcentral describes it as "5' ureB small RNA". It matches the Rfam family "5' ureB small RNA". The record is from RNAcentral.